This 68-nucleotide transfer RNA is filed under the name Ochotona erythrotis (Chinese red pika). RNAcentral describes it as "tRNA-Thr". The record is from RNAcentral. Lineage: Eukaryota; Metazoa; Chordata; Mammalia; Lagomorpha; Ochotonidae.
GUCCUUGUAGUAUAAACAUUACUCUGGUCUUGUAAACCAGGAAUGAAGUAUAAAUACUUCCCAGGACA